Molecule: microRNA, 21 nt
Filed under: Physcomitrium patens
Lineage: Eukaryota; Viridiplantae; Streptophyta; Bryopsida; Funariales; Funariaceae
Description: ppt-miR11321
Source: miRBase by way of RNAcentral
UCAUGUGCCUGUUGUAGUUCC